GACGAACGCUGGCGGCGUGCUUAACACAUGCAAGUCGAACGGAAAGGCCCUGCUUUUGUGGGGUGCUCGAGUGGCAAACGGGUGAGUAACACGUGAGUAACCUGCCCUUGACUUUGGGAUAACUUCAGGGAACUGGGGCUAAUACCGGAUAGGAGCUCCUGCUGCAUGGUGGGGGUUGGAAAGUUUCGGCGGUUGGGGAUCGACUCGCGGCUUAUCAGCUUGUUGGUGGGGUAGUGGCUUACCAAGGCUUUGACGGGUAGCCGGCCUGAGAGGGUGACCGGCCACAUUGGGACUGAGAUACGGCCCAGACUCCUACGGGAGGCAGCAGUGGGGAAUAUUGCACAAUGGGCGGAAGCCUGAUGCAGCAACGCCGCGUGCGGGAUGACGGCCUUCGGGUUGUAAACCGCUUUCGCCUGUGACGAAGCGUGAGUGACGGUAAUGGGUAAAGAAGCACCGGCUAACUACGUG
RNAcentral lists this ribosomal RNA (468 nucleotides) under uncultured bacterium. RNAcentral's name for it is "partial 16S ribosomal RNA". It matches the Rfam family "Bacterial small subunit ribosomal RNA", at positions 28 to 507 of the family's 1533-position model. The record is from RNAcentral.